GAUGAAGAACGUAGCGAAAUGCGAUACGUAAUGUGAAUUGCAGAAUUCAGUGAAUCAUCGAGUCUUUGAACGCACAUUGCGCCCUCUGGUAUUCCGGGGGGCAUGCCUGUCCGAGCGUCAUUGCUGCCCUCAAGCACGGCUUGUGUGUUGGGCCUCCGUCCUCCUCCCGGGGGACGGGCCCGAAAGGCAGCGGCGGCACCGCGUCCGGUCCUCGAGCGUAUGGGGCUUCGUCACCCGCUCUUGUAGGCCCGGCCGGCGCUUGCCGACACAUCAAUCUUUUUUCCAGGUUGACCUCGGAUCAGGUAGGGAUACCCGCUGAACUUAAGCAUAUCAAUAAUCGGAGGA
RNAcentral lists this unclassified non-coding RNA (345 nucleotides) under soil metagenome. Its description in RNAcentral is "partial contains 5.8S ribosomal RNA, internal transcribed spacer 2, and large subunit ribosomal RNA". The stretch from base 1 to 120 matches the Rfam family "5.8S ribosomal RNA", at positions 35 to 154 of the family's 154-position model. The record is from RNAcentral.